UAUGUGAACAAAUUCGUGCGUGUUACGACUAUUUGAAUUUUUACGAAAGAUGUAUUGUCGUAAUGGUUAAUUAACCGAUAAUCGCGAUAAAUUUUCAUCAACGAUGAAUGAAUUUGAAUAAACUACGAAGAAUAGGUUAGGAUUCGCUUGAAAAUAAUUAGCCCUAUUGCAUAUGCGUGUUGCGUAUUGAUGGUAAUUAUAAAUAAACGAUUUAACAAUGAUUGCAAUGAACAUUUGCAUUUGUUUAACGAAUAAGUAUACGUAUCUGAACUACUUAAUAAAUCAAAAAAAUGUUGUAAGUUAAAUCUACGUGUGAAUCAACGAAUGAACAAUUAGCAUUGAUAUUGUAGCAUUGAUGUGAAAUAUAAAUGAAGUAAACAAAUAAAAUUAAUUAUACUGAAUUAAAUGUUUCAUUAUGGAAAUAUUUUUAUAAAUAUUCACAACAAUAACAAUGCAUGUUCUCUUUCUAAAAGAAGUAUAUAGAACAGAAACUAGAUUUCACGAAAACGAAAACAGGCAGUUUCGAAGAGUGAAUUAGAUUUCAAAGGAUUGUUAACAUUCACAGCGAUCCGUAAGUGUAUCCUCGCGCUUUCUUUUCAUACAAACAUGGAUAAUUAACCGAGCAUAAGCAAUUUUUUCACCUGGUCGAAGUGAAAUUCAACUGGACAUAAUCUGUUUGGAAAGAGUUACGUAUCCGGGUAUCGAAGCAACGAUAUCUCCUCGACGUAUCAAUAUCUCUUCGAAAUUGUACAAGGCGGAUGAUCUAUUCCCAGUCUACUCGUCUUCAAAGAGACAAAUCGUCAUUCGCUUGAAGCCUCUUGGACGAUGAUACGGGAGAAAUGACGAGAGAUAAGUGAAACCAAAGUUCAAACGUUCACGGACGACUUUCCCCGUAAUGUUUUCGACACGAACAGGAUUCUGUGGUUGAAACGUUAAGUUAGGAAAGAUGUGUACUAUCAUUGUAUAUAUAACUAUCAUUUAAUUAUUGCAGGAGUUAGUAUAAGGAUAUAUGUAUGAGUGUAUAUCCAUGAUAAGUGGUAUGAGAGAUGAAAGGAUAUGUGGAGAACGAAUUCAGCGUAUAUUUCGAUUUAUGUGUUAAGAAUAAGACAAAAGAAUAUUAAUAGUUUACAAUGCUGGAUCAAAGAUUUGAGAUUGAGAUUUGUGUAUCGAAUAUACAACGAAAAAAGAAAAAAAAUAGAGAAAUAUAUAUUUGUAUACGAAUCUGCAUUGAUAUAACCUAAAACUUUUGAAUUAUCGAGAGAGGAAAAGGAAAAACAGAUGAUUUUUCUUAGCAAUAAGAAAGAAUAUUGAUAGUUUACAAUGUGAAAUAUAGAAUGAGAAAUAUACAACGAAAGAAGAAUAGAAAAAUAUAUAUAUUUGUACACGAAUCUGUCUACCAAUGACAUAACCUAAAACUUUUGAAAGAGGAAAAGCGAAAAUAUUCUUGAUGGAUAUGAUUUCUCUAGAUAAAUCGAGGACAAGGAGAAAGGGGGAAAUAAGGAAGAGAGACGGAUUAAUAGGAGAAUCAUAGGAGCAAUGACGUUAUCCUGGGAUAACGGGUGACCAGGUGCAUCGGGCACAUCGCCACCUAGGAAGUGGAUACGAGGUCUGACGGUUACCUCGUCAUCUUGACCAUUCUGCAGGAUACGAUGAGGCCUUCAGGCAACACGCUACUUUCUUUAAUUUAUAUCCCUCCGUAUAAUAUCGUACCAUGGAAAUAUCGUGGAUAAUCAGCUUUUAACACGUUGAACACCGCACAAGAAUCAAGGAUUUUGCUACAGAUCCAUUUGUGAUUUAUUAUUUAGGAGAAUGAAGGAUCCUUUGCAAAAUUUUUGCAUUGUUUAGACUUAAUUAUCGAAUCGAUGAA
Molecule: long non-coding RNA, 1867 nt
Organism: Apis laboriosa (Himalayan honeybee)
Lineage: Eukaryota; Metazoa; Arthropoda; Insecta; Hymenoptera; Apidae
Exons: 4
Source: RefSeq, a predicted model, not a curated record